AUAAAAUGUAUGUCUGAUUAAGUGGAAGCUGAACUGAUAUUCACUCUCAUUCUGAAGUUCGAGCUAGUUUCUUCUCUUUCUCGAACCCUAGAGAUUUCCUUUCUCUCUCGAAACCUUGUCGCUCUUAGGUUUGAUUGUUCUUCUUUCGAGUCCUCUUCGGUCUGAUUUGUGCUCUCUCGAACCCUCUAUGUGCUUUGGUUCUUCCUCGCCUCUCUCGCACUCACUCCCUCUCAUUUAUUGUCGCACUCACUAGUUGUUCACCAUUACUCUAAUCUUCUUCUUCGCACUUACUUCACUACUUUGUUCUUUGCAGGUUGAAAUUCACCUUCUAAUUGGUUUUUUCCAACUCCAAAACCCCAGUUUGGUUUCUUCCAACUCCAAUGUAGUUUCACUUCUCGAAGUCGACGACGCCUUGAAAUUCCCUACAUAACCAACAAGAAUGCAGACGAAGAUCUCGAACUUAGAACCACCGUCGAUGACAAAGGACCGGUAGGGAAGAGGAUGAAGGACGCCAUGAUGAAGCGUCCGUGUUCGGUCUUCUCUUUCGGCCUUCUCGUUCGGCCUUCUCGUUCAUCAUUCUUGUUGGUGUGGUUUGGUGCAUUGAGGUCACCAAGUUCGUUGUUGUGGAGCUUAAGGUGACGCCUUCAUAGUCCCAUCAUUUGGUAAGUAAUCAUUCUCUUCCUUCAUUCCCUAGUAAUUCCUAAAAUCGUAAAACACAAGAACCCUAAUUUGCAUUCCUUUUAAUUGGGACAUUUGUGGUUCGGCAAGCUGUGUUUCAUUCUUCCCAGAGUUUGAUUGAGGCAUUGUGUUUCGGUUUAAGAACUACACUUCAUCUUGCGAAGUCGUAUAGUGAAGGAAUGAGAGACAAGCGACCUGCAAUGCGAAAAUGUCGAUGAACCCCUUUUUGCGAUAUUGCCCUGGAAGAGGCCCUUCACAUAAGAGAAUCUGGCUUGGCCUUCGAGGUUGUCGUUGUUAGCAUUAAACCCAUCCAAUGGGUAUAUACUCUCCAAACGGGUCUUGCCAUGGGAGCCAACACAUGCAUCCAUAUCGAGUUCACGACUUUCCUAUUCGCUCUCUUUGUUUCCAAAAUCUUCAGAAAGCUCGUGGAGAGAUGCCAAGGAAAAUUUGCAAUGAAGGUAUGGAAAGGUGUUGGAUUAUGCACUCAUAUAUUGGAGGCACAUAUAUUGGAGGGACAUAGAGAUUGAUGAUUUUUUUAUUCACGAUUUUGGCUAUCUUGUUGGCUUCUGCUUGAUUUCUGAGACUGGUUUGAUACAUUUCUUUCAUCACUUUUUCAUUCCUAUAUUAAAAAAGUUUUUUUUACUCAUUUUCAUUUUCAUGCAUGUGAUAAUCUCUCUGGCUUGUUCUAAUUCCAUUAAGUUAGUUAAGGUCCUCUAGUUUUUCAUAGGAUUGAGAAUAUGGUGUAUCAAUGUUAUGUUACGAUGACAAUUGAAGAAUAGUGUUACAUCCAUCUAGUUUCAUUUAGAGGAUGUUAUUUUUGGUCUUUGAAGAGUUUUUGAAAGAGAUGAAAAACCUGUGACUGGAGUGUCACACAUUGUUUGUGACUUUUGGAGAUAAUCAGGUAUAUUCUUGUUAAUUUUAGCUUUGAUACUAGAUUACCAUUAUACAUUCAAGAAUAAUGAUAAACUUCUUUGUCAUUUGGUUUUACAAUUUUUGUUCACUUUUCUUUCCCAUGCAGCAUGUGAAACAUCGUUGGUGCUUCCCUUAGGGGGUUCACUUAUGGAGAAAAAUGUUUAUUCCUUGCUAAUGAUUGGCAUGCCAACCUAGUUCUAGUUUAUGCAUGUCUAACUUUAUCCACCUUUUACCAAUCUCUCUUUUCUCCCCUGCCCUUUUAUUUUGUCAAUUUAGUUAUAAUUAUGCUUCAUUAUGACAUAUGACUUUCACAUUUUAAAAUUUCCUUUGGAGCUUGUUCUGAUUUAUCUUAGAAGAUAUUAUUAUCUUAAUAAGGAUGAGACUAGUACUUGAUUCUGGUGAAGACUUUUGAUAGUGAAGUAUCGUUCACAUGGGUAUAUAAGGAUGCUCAAAGUAUAUUAGUGAUACAUAAUAUAGAACAUGAGGUGAGCUGUUUCAUUUUAUUUUAUAUUACUAGAUAGAGAUAUUAUGAAGCACAAUAACAUCAUGCUUUAAUCUCUCUGUUUCUUAAAAUUAGAUUUCAAGUGUCACCAACAAAACAGGGGUCUCUAUAAGUUCUAUUUUAUACUUUUCAAAUAGAUGCCCUCAGUUUGGCUACCUUUUAUUAGUGUUCAUUAAGUCACAUGCUAGAAUUUAGAAACCUAUUAUGAAUGACAAAUAAUAAAAGUUCUUUGUUAAAAAGUGAGAUUAUUACUUGUAUACAGGAGAAAAUAUGAGCUAUUAGAAGCAGUGUAAGAAAUGCCAAUAUUAGAAAAUAAUUAUAAUGAGUUUGGCAGUCACGAAAUUUACAUAAGAGCUUUUAUUAAAGGGUUCUCAAGUGUUUUUCCUUUUUUAAUAUUUAAUAUGUUGCUAUUUAAUAUUUAUGUUAUUAAAAAAUAAUUACUUAUAUUUAUUUUCAAUAUAAUAAAUAUUUAUAUUUUAACUUGCAAUAACGAAUAUAAAAAAACUGCUUAAUAAUCCAUGAUUUGUUCUUCGUUCAAAAGUUCAUAGAUUUAGCUCUUUGUAUUUGAUUUUAUAUUUGUUCUUGUUUUUUUCUUUUCUUUUGGUGGAUUCUGACUUGUUUUGCAUUGAAUGAGAAGGUAUAUAAUGCAAGAAAGUUUGAGAAUUGCAAAUAAAACUGAGAAAGCCUCAACCAAAGGUAUGACUUUGUUGUGCCUUAGCUCAAUUCUCCAUAUCUCGUUUCAUUUAGAUUAUAAUAUUUCAUAACUUACUAGGUUUUCAUUAAUUAUAAUAUUAUAUAAUUUUGCCCCAGAAAAUAAAAAAGCUGAAACUGACUUGUAUAGUUUAAUUAAUUUUAUUGUAUGCAUGUAUAUUUGUUGUGGUGUAUGUUUUCACCAUUCCCUGUUAUGGUGUUAACCCAUGACCACUUAAGUCAUGGAAUCCCAUAACUCAUCAUUUAUUGACUAUAGAUAGAUUAAUUCAUAGUUAAGUCUUUUUCAUUUGAUUGCAUAACUUGCAUAUGUAUACAACUUCUAAUAAUGAUAAUUUAUUUUUCAAACAAAUAUAGUACCUAAAUUAAAACUUUUAAUCUCUUGAGUUGAGUAAGUAUGUUAAAUUACGAUGUAAAGUGAAAUUAUAAAUUUUCAAGAUGGAAUCACACUUUCAGGAUCUAUCGUUAGUUUAUAAAUUCCCCCUUGGUUUAGUGUGACAUUUGAAUUGAGUGUUUAUGGCCUGAAAAAUGUCUAUCCAUUUUAAGUUAGGUAUCUCCUUUCAAUCAUAUUUUAUCCAUGUGGAAGAUUCAGACUCAAAAUUUUAAAGGUUACCCAAAACAUUGGUUAAAGGAUCUAAGUUUAGUUUCACUUAAACCAACAACAUAUUGUUCAAGAAGUUUGUAUCAUUAUAAACCUUGUAAGAUGGUGUUUGUAAGGUAUGAGAAGCUAUUCUGUUCUGGUUUGAAUAAGUUGUAUUGUUUGCCAAAUUGGUAUCUUUGUUUGGGGUUUUACUUCGUUAGAUGGGGUCCAACUAUAAUUGAUUUUGUGUUGUUAUGUUAUAAUCUGGAAAAUUAUAUUAUUACAUGACUUAGAAUAAGUUAUGGGUGGAUGGAUUAUCUUUUAUACGAUAAAUGAUGUUUGGGUUGGGAUUAUCUUAUAUUGUUGUCAUCCUUUCUUCAUCAAAGAACAAAAGAGUUAUUGGAUAUUCCUUUGGAGCCAUUGUGAGGAUAGCAAGCCUUUCAUCUUCACUGACAAUCCCUUGAUCACAUUCAAUAUGUAGAUGCAUUAUAUGCUCGUCAUGCAUCAUUAAAUGCAUGUGGCUUAGAUUUUCAUAGCUUUUAGGAAUGGGGUUGAUUUUCAGACAAGACAUCAAAUUCAAGCUUUGUUAGAUUAUGUUAUUAUAUAUAACUGAAUCAAUACAAAUCUCAUUUUGACGAUAUGCUUGUUCAGUUCUCCAUACAAGUGUAAUUAUGCACAUUACCUUUCCAUUGAUAUUUCAAAAUUCUUUUUUAGAACUCAUUUUCCUGUUCUAUAUACGGAUUUUUGCCCUAUAUAAUCUGUAUAUAAUCAAAUAUUAUAUACGGAUUUUGGGCCUUAUAUACGGAUUUUGACUGUAGAUAAUGACGUUUUUUCUUGUAGUGAUUGGAAAACCGUUACCUCAAGCAAAUCACUACUCCAUAAAUCACACAAAUAACAACAUUACAUGUUCAAACAGUUACUUACCUCGUCUCUCUUUAACAAAGCAUCAAUUUCUUUAGUGUCAUAAUUUAACAAAUGAAAUCUCAAAAUCUGUGGGAAAACCUUGUGAGAAGAAUGGGCAUACAAACCAAGGUGUUCAUACGUCCAAAGCUACAAUCAAAGUAUUAAAACCAUUACAAAAAGUUCUAACAAUAAACUUACUUAAUAAAACAAACAACCAAAAUUUACUAAUACCUAUAAAACAACAGCGCUGCCACUUAUGCUCAAAGAAUCCAGUAAGUAUUUUUUGGUUACAUCUAUUUAGACUAUUUACAAUAUAUGAAUGUACAGCACUACUCUAAUCAUAAUUAGACAAAUUAUUUAACUCAACUAGCAUUAAACAAGGCAUGUUAGAAAUAUGUUUUGUCUUCCUAGAAAAAAAGAACACCACAAAACAAAUUAAUAUAUACAAACGACAAACAACAUCUACAUCAACAUCAUCAUUAUGUACAAGGACAUUAAACAUCUUAAAUAACUCUUUCAAUGAGGAUUUUUUACAAUUAGUAAAAUGUUCACCUACUUUACCCACAAUUGAUUCAUCCAAAGGUACCUCCACUCCAAAGCCUAAACUAAUCACCACAUCUUGCACAUUCAAAGGAACCAAUUGUUUCCUAACUCUAAAUGCUUGGUGGUGGGGAAUUCAUCGACGAACCAUGCGUUUCAACAAUUUUAGGUUCAACUCUAUAGGAUCUUGAAUUCGUAAACACAUCUUAAAUGGAGUUCAAAAAAUCCAGUUCUGAUGUCUCAAUUGCAGUAAGGAUUUCAUUUGGCUAAUAUAGGAUGUACCCAUCCAAGCCCUCAUGCGCCACUGUCCAAUAGUUGAAAUUUAUUACACUCAAUUUAUAAAACAAAGCUCCAAAACAAGUAACAAAACACAAAACUUCAAAUUCUACUUACAUUGCUUUUACAGGGUACCAUUUUCAGUUGUACUAAUACCGUCAAUCAAAUAUUAACCUAACAUAAAUUACCAAUGGAGAUAAUAUUAACUUCAAUGCAGUUGCUAAAAAGAAAUGUAUCAGUCAUAAAAUUUAUAGCAGAAACUGAUUAACUAAAGAUAAGUAUGGAUGUAAUCUCUAUUCAGUGUUGGUUCCAAAAAGAUUGCAUGAAUGUAAACAACGCACUAAAGAGUAGUUGGUCUAAAAAGAAUACAAGUCACAGUCUUUAAAAGGUUUCGAAUUUCAAUUUUAGGAUUGGUGAAAAUAUGGUUAAAAGGGGAUAGAGCAAAAGAAAAUGUCAAACUGGGUUAUAGCACAUAUCAAAUGUCAAAACAAAAAUACGAUGCAGAUAUACUCACCAGCGCACCCAAUAACCAAAUCCACAACGGCAACCGCGGAAAAAACCUAACCUUUCACACUUCCGAACCACCGCACCGAACACCUAAACGCAAAAGAAACGCACAAUAAAGGCAAUGCACAAAACAACUAAAGGCACACUAAAGACAUCGAAAGCACCUCUCCGUUCGACGGUUGCCCAAAAAGCCAGACUUCCACCAACGACUUCAAAUGGCGAAUAGAGAGAUACCUUCUUGAGACACAGCGUUUUUGACAGAGGUCGUUGUGCCGUUGAGAGAGAUCGUUUUUGAGAGAGUUGGUUUUUGAGAGAGAGCGUUUUUCAGAGAGUUGCAAGAGUUCUUUCUUCAGUGAGUUGCGUUUCUGGAAUGUGCCAAGAGAGGUUUAUUCACUCAAACCUUCUUCCAACAAUGCCCUCAGUAAUUCUGAAAAUUCAUUUUUUAAAUUAAUAUCAGACAACGAAUGAGACAACGCCACGUGAUAUUGUAAAAAACAUUGUCAAAUUAUGAGCAAACUUGUGAAAGUUGAUCAAUUUGAAAAGAUUCAAAGCCUGCUUGGAGGUAUGAAAGCCACUUAAGUAAGCUAUGACGUUAGAUUGUCCUAUUAUU
RNA transcript from Vigna radiata var. radiata (mung bean), 6216 nucleotides. RefSeq lists it as uncharacterized. The transcript is spliced from 3 exons. The record is from RefSeq and is a predicted model, not a curated record. Lineage: Eukaryota; Viridiplantae; Streptophyta; Magnoliopsida; Fabales; Fabaceae.